This 321-nucleotide ribosomal RNA is filed under the name Triticum aestivum (bread wheat). Its description in RNAcentral is "partial small subunit ribosomal RNA". The record is from RNAcentral. Lineage: Eukaryota; Viridiplantae; Streptophyta; Magnoliopsida; Poales; Poaceae.
AUGGGGGGCGGCCCCGGUUGUGCUGUGGAGAACCCGUCUGAUUUGCAUUUGCUGCUUGUUGCUGCCCAAGGUUGUGCUGUGGAGAACCCACCUGAUUUGCGUUUGCUGCUUGUUGCUGGCCCGGGUUAUGCUGGGGAGAACCCACCUGAUUUGCAUUUGCAUUUGCUGCUUGUUGCUGGACCAGGUUAUGCUGGGGAGAACCCGCCUGAUUUGUGUAUGCUGCUUGUUGCUGGCCUAAGUUGUGCUGUGGAGAACCCACCUGAUUUGCAUUUUCUCCUUGCAUAUAACUUUGAGCACCUGCCAUGCCAAAAAACAAUUUAG